CUAAGAUGGCGGCUUCCUCCACUAGAAUGUUUGUGUUGUUCUUUUAUGCCUGGCUCAUUCCGACCCUUUCCUUCCUAUCAGUUCCUGAAACUGAGUGUGUUGCAUCUUCCUUGUAUCACACAGCCGAAAGUGGAAACAAUUCAAAUGUCCAACAACUGAUGGAAAGAUGAAGUGUGGUAUAUCCAUAUAAUGGAAUAAUACGCAGACAUAAAGUGGAAUGAUUGGCACAUGUUUACAACAUGGAUGAACCUUGACAACGCUAUGUUAAGUUAAAGAAGCCAGACACAAAAGGUGGAUUAUGGAAAUAUUUACAGAUAAGUGUACAUACAAGGGAUUGUCAACACUCUGGCAAUUGAAAAAUAACAGGAAUAACUGUUUUAUGACAAAUGGACCUGAACCCUAUGAAAUGAAUUUGCAAGCACUGGCACAGUUCACAUAUGCUACAAACAACCAUCUUCAGACAGUGUAGCCAACCAACUGUGCCAGACUUAAACUGAUGACCCUGAGGUGAAUCGUUCUAUUGUCACAACAUUUCUGGUCCUCAAGGCUCUCCAUGCUCUUAAACUCUUUUCUUUAAUAUUCUACAGUGUGUUUAUUUUCACGGCUAUAAAGUCAUACUCAGAUUUGCAAUGAUAUUUACUACCAUAUUUCAGAGUGUUUUAACUGAUGUUAGUUCAAAUCAAUUCUGGAGAAACUUUCCAGCCAAGGGAAUUGCAAGCUAGCUGGUUGACAUUGGAGGUCAAAUACUCCAGGGUAUGGGUCUCAAAUCACUUAAUUCUUCACAGCAAAUUAGAAACGGGACUCCAGCUGGUGCUAAAGAAUAAGACAGACUUGCUGUAUAAGGACAAGCUGCUGCUUGGAUUUCGAGUCUUUAUAUUCCUAAAAUAAAAAAUGUGAGACCCAAUUCCCACCCCCCAAUCUCAUUCUUUCAGAGUAAAAGAUUUCUUAACAACAGCAAAAAUCUGGCCACCUGAUUUCAAUACAUAAAUCUUGCCAAGGUAUAAAAAUAAAAUAUGAUUUAAACAGCAACCUGUAAUCUCCUGUUGACGACCAGCUGUGCCUCCUAUUAGUAUUAAUGGAAGUUACACAGGCAUAAUAAGAAGGAGGGGAAAAUGCCACCUUAUGCUUUUUGCACACCUUAACAUUUUUAUAGCAAGUCUGAUUACAAGGGUUUACUUGAGCGGCAAUUAAACAAUGAUUGAUUACUCAGUACAAUUUGUAUUCCAGGCGACAUGCAAAUGGCAAUGAAAUUCUCAGAUAAGGAAUGGAAUAAAUUCUUCUCACAUCAGAGAAUCACAUCUUUUUAACAGAAAACGUUUUCUUAUAUGGAGAUAAGAACUUCAGUAUAAGUUUCUUAAAUAAUACAUGUUUACCCAAAGACAAUAAGCCUUGAUUUGGAUUUAGAAAGGAAUGGUAAUGAUUUUUGCAAAUUGUACUUCCCACUUCACCUUUAGACUACAGCUCUCUUUCCAUGAUGACAAACCAUAUGGAUGGAAAGUAUAAUAUUCACUCACAAAUAUAUUGACUUUGACUAUAGUCACAACUAUAAACAAUAUUUUUCAUCAUAUUUUGACAUUGCAGAAAUAAUAUCUACUUUUAAAUUGAAAGUGAAGUGAAAGGUUUAUUAAGUGUCUAUCAUGUGCCAGGCACCAUUCUAGGUGUAGGCAACACAGCAAAGAACACACAAUACUCAUGUUAGAGAGGAAGAAGCUGACAAUAAACAAGUAUACAGAUAUAGAUACAAAGUCAGUGUAUAUAAAAUAAAGAAAAUUAUCAGAGAAACUGAUGGGCAUUGAUGUGUAUGUGUACCUAUUCAUAUUCAGGGGAAAAUGAUGGAAAGGGAAGUCAAUGACUUUACGCUUGCUUUUUCCUACUUAAGGAAUAUCUUGAUCCAACAUCAUUGAAUAGUUGUCUGCUCUGUACCAUUUUGAUAUUCAUCCAAGUACAAAGAAUAGAAAGAGCUUAGAAUUAAUAUGCUGGAUAAAUGGUAAAGCCACAGUGGCUGAUGUGGUAUAAGCUGGAGUAAAAUGGAGAUGACAUGAGAUCACAGAUACACAGAGGUAUAGUCAUUGUACGCCAAUCUAAGUAAUGUGUGCUUUACUUUAAUUUUAAUGAGAAUCCAUUGAUAGGUUAACAGGGGAGUGUUAUGAUGUAAAUAUGUUUUUCAACCAUCAAUCUAAUUGCUGUAUGUAUGUUAUGGGAUAUAAUAGAAAUGUGACCUACCUUGAAAUCUGCAUUUUUCUUGAAGAACUGGCUAAUAUAUUACCAUUUUCACUUAUUGAAAAUUUAAUGUAAAAGAGAAAUUGCAGUUAAUAUCUUAUAGUCAGGUAUGUUUAAAAAUAAAAAUCAGAAAUCGCUCCUGCUUUAAGGUACUAUUAUCAUAAAAGGCAGGGAUAUGUAAAAGGAAAGAGAAGAAAAAGUUAUGAUGUCUAUAAAAACAAAAUAUUAGAAAAGACUAUUAAGGAUCACAUUGUCCAUCAGCUUGCUUUUUGCAGCUGGGGUAAAUGGCGGUUUAUGUUCUUUGUUCAGAUUUCCAGGAUAAAGACUUCAUAUCAUCCCUGGUAGUCCAUGCUAAUAUUUUAUCUUUGACAUAAAGAAGUUAUUUUUUAUAUCCAAUUACAUUGUCUCAAUUUAUUAAACCUAUUUCAUGACCUGAUGUCAAAAUAGAAAACAACUGCUCACUAUUCUGAUAAAAACUAUUUCAAUACAAUAAUUUAUUCAAGCUUAGCCAGCUUUGUCUUCUCUAAGCUAAAGAAUCUGAAACUCUUUAAUCAUUCCCUAUUUUAUCACUUUAGUCAAAUUUUUCUUAUGCCCAGAACAAUCUACUUUAAAGUAUGAAUUGCUUCUUGUAUCAAAGCACAUACAAGUUGAUUAGAAAUUUAUGUUCUAUGUUUAGCAAUUUUGCUUAGUUAAAAUGAUGAGAGGAAGAUGACAAAGUAUUUAACACAUUAUAUUUCUGUCAAAAUCUGUGAUACAACUCAUCACCUAGGCAUGGAUUUACUAUGCGUAACAACUACAACUGUACAUAUUUAGGAUGUGGAUGAUAUAUGUAACAUAUUUAGUCAUAUAUAAUAGGUAUAUACAUAUGUUUGUUUCUUACUGUAACAAGGAAAAACCAUGAAAUAGAUAUUAUCAUUCUUUAAUCAGGAUUCUCAUAGGUCACAGAUUAGACUAGAAUAGAAUAGCAAAAUAGAAAAAUUCUGUAAGGGAACAUAUUACUCUAUUUCAAGGCAAACAUGUAAAAUAGAAGGUAUUGAGUGAAGGAGUCCUGGGCAAGAAUCCAAGAUCUACCACCCAUUAGUCUUGUGAAGAUACAGCAUUAACAUUGUGAGGCCUCAAUUUUCUUAACUAUAUGAUAAUUAAUAUACAAAGUCUAAUAAAUUGCUUAGCAAAAUAGGAACUCUAAAUGUUAGUUCCAUGAAUAAAACCAAAAUAAAAUCCAUUUGGACGUUUAUAAAACCCAAAAAUGCUCUUUGUAAGUAUACUGCAUUCAAAAUAAAUAAAUAAAAUUCACGAUAUUGUGGUGGUGUUUCAAUAACUCCUACCUACCACCCCCAAGAAAGAAAUUAGGUAUCAGAAACUCCAAUAAAAUACAUAAGUGUCAGUUUCUAUAUUUUUAAAUUCAGAUUAUUGUGGUAAUUAAAUCAAAGAUUAUGUGUAAUGUCCUGGGCAUACAGUAGAUGAUCAAUAAAGUCAGCUAUUUUUAUUAGCUCUAAGUAAAAUUAAUGAUUAAGCAUGCGUGGUUCAACAGAGGAUGCAACACAGCAAUCAAUGGUAGUUAAAGCUAAUACAGAUGGGAAGGUGGCUCUGUCCAUAUACUCUAGUCAUUCAUUAUCCAGGAACAACAAGUGUGGGCCAGGAAAAUCUUUCCCUAGAACAAUAGUGGAUGCCAAGAUCCUAACCACUCAAUACAAUCUCUCAGAAAGAAACAUUUGGUGGCCUUUAAAUAGAAAGUAUCAUGCCAAAAGAAUGUUUUUGGUUCUACACUUUUUAAUCUCCAAAUUGAAAAUAGUUAAGUUGAAAAAUGUUUCUCAAUGGAAAGAUGUAUUAUAUUCUUCAGGGGGUCAAAGUCAAUCUUGAAAUAUGUUAAUGCUGUUAUAUCCUAAUGUGCUGCUGGUUUGGAAGAUGGGCAAAAAAAAAUAAAAAAAUUUAUAAAGCCUUUAAGAAACAAACGUGUGUGUGUGACACAGA
Long non-coding RNA from Pongo pygmaeus (Bornean orangutan), 4191 nucleotides. RefSeq lists it as uncharacterized. The transcript has 4 exons. Lineage: Eukaryota; Metazoa; Chordata; Mammalia; Primates; Hominidae. The record is from RefSeq and is a predicted model, not a curated record.